CCUACGGGAUGCCGCAGUGGGGAAUAUUGCACAAUGGGCGCAAGCCUGAACGAGCGAUGCCGCGUGAGUGAAGAAGGCCUUCGGGUCGUAAAGCUCUGUUGCGGGGGAAAAAAGGCAACUACAGGAAAUGGUAGAUGACAGAUGGUGCCCGGCCAGCAAGUCACAGGUAACUACGUGCCAGCAGCCGCGGUAAUACGUAGGUGGCGAGCGUUAUCCGGAAGGAUUGGGCGUAAAGGGUGCGAAGUCGGUGCUGCAAGUCUGGAGUGAAACGGAUGAGCUCAACUCAUGCAUGGCGCUGGAAACUGGAGGACUGGAGAGCAGGAGAGGGCGGUGGAACUCCAUGUGUAGCGGUAAAAUGCGUAGAUAUAUGGAAGAACACCAGUGGCGAAGGCGGCCGCCUGGCCUGUUGCUGACGCUGAGGCACGAAAGCGUGGGUAGCAAAUAGGAUUAGAUACCCUUGUAGUC
This 465-nucleotide ribosomal RNA is filed under the name uncultured bacterium. Its description in RNAcentral is "partial 16S ribosomal RNA". It matches the Rfam family "Bacterial small subunit ribosomal RNA", at positions 338 to 795 of the family's 1533-position model. The record is from RNAcentral.